Molecule: ribosomal RNA, 1177 nt
Filed under: marine metagenome
Description: bacterial LSU rRNA
Rfam family: Bacterial large subunit ribosomal RNA
Source: RNAcentral
UGCCGGACCAGCCUUUGUGGGCUUCAAUCAACAGGCCCAGGCGACUGUUUAUCAAAAACACAGGUCUCUGCAAAACCGAAAGGUGAAGUAUAGGGGCUGACGCCUGCCCAGUGCCGGAAGGUUAAGAGGAUUUGUUCGAACACUUCGGUGUUCAAAGCUCAGAAUCGAAGCCCCGGUGAACGGCGGCCGUAACUAUAACGGUCCUAAGGUAGCGAAAUUCCUUGUCGGGUAAGUUCCGACCUGCACGAAUGGCGUAACGACCUGGGCGUUGUCUCAACGAGGGGCUCGGUGAAAUUGCAAGGCCCGUGAAGAUGCGGGCUACCCGCGACAGGACAAAAAGACCCCGUGGAGCUUUACUGUAACCUGGUAUUGGUCUGGGAACUGUCAUGUGUAGGAUAGGUGGGAGACUUUGAAGUUGCGACGCCAGUCGUGAUGGAGUCGCCCUUGAAAUACCACCCUUGGCUGUUUUUGGUUCUAACCUCAGCAAAACUGAGGGACAGUGCCUGGCGGGCAGUUUAACUGGGGCGGUUGCCUCCGAAAAGGUAACGGAGGCGUCCAAAGGUUCCCUCAGGACGGAUGGAAAUCGUCCUUAGAACGCAUUGGCAUAAGGGAGCUUGACUGCAAGACCUACAAGUCGAGCAGGGACGAAAGUCGGGCAAAGUGAUCCUACGGCACCGUGUGGAAGGGCCGUGGCUUAUCGGAUAAAAGCUACCCCGGGGAUAACAGGCUUAUCUCGCCCAAGAGUUCACAUCGACGGCGAGGUUUGGCACCUCGAUGUCGGCUCGUCCCAUCCUGGGGCUGAAGGCGGUCCCAAGGGUCCGGCUGUUCGCCGGUUAAAGGGGUACGUGAGUUGGGUUCAGAACGUCGUGAGACAGUUCGGUCUCUAUCCGCCGUGGGCGCAGGAGGCUUGAGGGAACCUCUCCCUAGUACGAGAGGACCGGGAGGGACAGACCUAUGGUGUGCCAGUUGUUCCGCCAGGAGCAGCGCUGGGUAGCCAUGUCUAGUAUUGAUAAGCGCUGAAGGCAUCUAAGCGCGAAGCUGCCCCCAAGAUGAGGCCUCCCUUCCCUAUUAAGUUAGGGAGUAAGACUGCAGAGAGACUAUCUGCUUGAUAGGCCGGAUGUGUAAGGAUAGUAAUAUCUUCAGCAUACCGGUACUAACCGGUCGAGAGUCUUGGCCC